CGUAUUUAUGCAAAAUGGAACCACUCGACAAAUUUGCUUUUUUCCGUUUCUUGAAGAAUACUCAUUUAAAAGUGGUCUAAAUUCUUAUACAAACAAGAACCAUAUGAAUUUUACCUUGGAAACAAGGUAUACUAAAAGCAGAAAGGAACCACCAGCAACAACGAAUAAUACAUAUGAAGCAAAACCGAACCACAGCACCACGGGACUGCUUUGUUCAUACAAAUAAACGAUAUUACUAUCAUGUCAUUAUAUACAAAACAGAUCCGCAGAUACUUGGUACCAUUAUACAUUACACAUAUUUCUAUUAAUAACAAUUAUUUUUAAUACACAAAAUGGAACCAGGUUUCUAUGGUAUGGUUAUGCGUAAAAUAAAUUCAUAAUUUAAUUGUAAUUUUUUAUUGCAAAAUAAAACCACAAGCAUUCGGUUCUAUCAUGCAUAAAUAAAUAUUGUAAAACAUCCAGAAACCCAUCAUCGCUAUACGGAACCAAAUGCCUUGACUUGUGCACAAUGCAGAAUGCUUCUCAUCUUUAAACAACGUAUUUCAUUACGUCUUAUAUAGCUCAAAGUGCAAAACUCCAAUUUUUAAAGUAAAACGUCGAACAUCUGUCAAUAUAGGUGACAUUCAGCGAAGUAUUUCGAAUACGUGACGGCCGUUUUUUUUCUCCGCGAAGUAAGUUCUAUUGUUUUUGUUAAUUACCUUUAAAAUUAAAUGUGAAAAUGUUUAGUAAUAAAUAAAUAAGGAAGCAAUUGGUAAGAAAAGCAUUGGAGACGAACACCGAAGAUAAUAAUGAAGAUACAACGGAAGAUAACGAAGAACCUUAUACGUCGAUGCCUCUGGAGAAGCUUUCUUCACCUUCAAGCGAUAUUCAGGCCAUAUUACAUCUCAUUCCACAAUAUGCACAGAGUUUUUAUAACAAUCUUAUUAGUGAUGAUGCAAUAGAAGACCACAUAGAUGGACUAGACAAGGUGGAUUUCGAAAUCCAAUUUGAUGAUAACGUCGAAUAAACGUCCUCUAUAUGUAUUAUUUUAUAUAUCUUUUUAAUAAAAGCUUUAUUACGAUAUUAUAAA
Long non-coding RNA from Colias croceus (clouded yellow), 1069 nucleotides. RefSeq lists it as uncharacterized. Lineage: Eukaryota; Metazoa; Arthropoda; Insecta; Lepidoptera; Pieridae. The transcript has 2 exons. The record is from RefSeq and is a predicted model, not a curated record.